This is a non-coding RNA of Drosophila melanogaster (fruit fly), 1103 nucleotides long. The record is from Ensembl. NCBI's taxonomy places the organism in Eukaryota, Metazoa, Arthropoda, Insecta, Diptera, Drosophilidae.
GGAAAAUCAAAUCGAUUCGAUUCGCACUGCAGCAACAACAGCAUCCACAAUGGACAACGCACAUUUGCCUUUGACCAGGCGCAGAUUGUGCAUGGGAAUCCCCCGGGCGAAUCGCCCAAAAUGGAAACCCACAUCCAUUGGCCAGCAUACAAGCCGUAUUUCAGACUCAAAGUCGUUUAUCUUGCCGCCGUUUGGGUACGUUUCUGAUCUCGGUUUUGCAGUUGGGCUAAUGUAAGUCGCACAUAAAUUGAAUAAAGAACGAGUGUAGGUGGCAAUAAAAGCCAGGCCAACACAGUUAGGUUAAAUUAAGCUUCUUCUUAACCUGCACUUGAGUGCCAGAAUUCAAUUACAGUCUCGUCGUGUUUAGAAGCGGCGAUUAAGGAAAGGUACUAAUAGCCUGAUUAAAUCUUUAAAAUUCCGAAACGUUUCAGCGUAUUGUUGUACUUUCUCAACUAUUUUUAUACCAUUUUUUUGAUAACUAUGAUCGUUGGAUUUUGACAGGACAUGUUCUUGAAAACUCAGCAUAACAACGAGCUAAAUAACAUGUCAAGGCACUGAAAUAAUUGGCUCUACACACUACUUCAGUUUUUCCUAGUGAUGGACAAACUUUCAGCAAUGGCAUUUUAUUUUCCACUUUACAAUUGCUUUAUUUGAACAGAGUGACUCCACCACCACUCCAAUUUUCCAACUAAUCCAAAUCCAUGGCCACUCAAACAAAGCAGCAACAACGAAACGCUUGUCAUUAACAAACAAUGCAGUACCUGUUUAAUUUUUAUUGUGAAACUUGGCUCGACGAGAGCUUAACUUUUCCCGAUGCAACGCAGCUUAGAUAGCUAUAUACACCCACUCAGCAACGAUAAACCCACUCGACGCCGGGGGACAUUGGAUAAUGUCAAUGGCCGGGGAUCCGAGGUGGGACCGAGCAGUUCCACGAUAUGUUUAAUGGCAGUAGGAAUGGAAAAAGUUUUACGUAUAGCAAAGCAAUUCAAUUGAAAAUAAUUAGAAACGUAGCCACAUGGCGAAACUUCUUAAUUACCCGGCUAUUGUGCGUCUACACUGAAAUAAAUAUCUACUGAAUGACUUAGUUAGUGGCGUAAAUUAGG